GCUCCAGUGGCGCAAUCGGUCAGCGCGUGGUACUUAUAAUGCCGAGGUUGUGAGUUCGAGCCUCACUUGGAGCA
This 74-nucleotide transfer RNA is filed under the name Danio rerio (zebrafish). RNAcentral's name for it is "tRNA-Ile (TAT) (tRNA-Ile-TAT-28-1)". It matches the Rfam family "tRNA". From Rfam's summary of the family: Transfer RNA (tRNA) molecules are approximately 80 nucleotides in length. Their secondary structure includes four short double-helical elements and three loops (D, anti-codon, and T loops). Further hydrogen bonds mediate the characteristic L-shaped molecular structure. tRNAs have two regions of fundamental functional importance: the anti-codon, which is responsible for specific mRNA codon recognition, and the 3' end, to which the tRNAs corresponding amino acid is attached (by aminoacyl-tRNA synthetases). tRNAs cope with the degeneracy of the genetic code in two manners: having more than one tRNA (with a specific anti-codon) for a particular amino acid; and 'wobble' base-pairing, i.e. permitting non-standard base-pairing at the 3rd anti-codon position. The record is from RNAcentral. Lineage: Eukaryota; Metazoa; Chordata; Actinopteri; Cypriniformes; Danionidae.